CUGAGCUAAGUCUUGAAAGAUGACAAGGCUUCUGACAAUACACAAAUAUAGGGCUGCCAAGUUUGAUGAGUGUAACAAACAGAGCACUGAGAUACAGAGUAACACUCGGGGCCCGCUUUCAGAGGGUAGCAGGGAGAGACAGUCAGCAAUCUUCAGCAGAGGCCUGAAGUCUGAGAAGGCCAGUCCCGUGAAGAGUAUUCCAGGCAAAAAAAUUGACACAUGUGAGGCCUGAAGGGCUGAAGGUGGUUUCCUACUAAGCCAAGUGGCCAAAGUUUGAGUUCUUUCAUCAUCAUAGUCAUGGACCAGCAUCUCAGCAGUGGGGUCAAAAUCAUGAUCUUCAGAAGACAAAGACCCAACUGGAAUAAAACAAACUGAAUCACUUUACACAUUUAAAAGGCUAUUAACAAAAUAAAAUAAAAAUUUGUGUUCUUCUGCCA
Molecule: long non-coding RNA, 437 nt
Organism: Mandrillus leucophaeus (drill)
Lineage: Eukaryota; Metazoa; Chordata; Mammalia; Primates; Cercopithecidae
Exons: 2
Source: RefSeq, a predicted model, not a curated record